CACUGCGCCCAAUCAAUGCUUUCCAUUUUAUCUUGGCUGCUAAGUAACUCAGAAGUAACUUUAAAUCUCAACCUUAGUAACCAUGUAGGAGCUGGAUAAUUAUUCACUACUUUUAAGCACUCAAGUCUUCCUUCACCUGUAUGAUAAGAACCAAACUUCUCUGUAAAUUAUGCAUGUCUUUUUAUGAUCUGGCUCCUGCUCCCUCAUCAGCUUCAUAUCCUAUUCACUCUAGUUUAUACUCCCUGUUACAAUAAAAUGGAAUUUCUUGUAGCUCCCUGAACUAGCUAUGAUAUUCCAAAAUCCUAUGUAUUUCCGAAUGCCACUUUUUCUUUCUAAUUAUGAUGUCUUCCCUUCCAGAUGACAUCAUAAUUAGUCCUUUCUAAGCCUAAUUAAAACAUCUGCUCUGGACAAAAUCCUUUGUUGACUUCCUUCCACCAGCCCUGGGAAGAAUCUAUCAUCCCCUUUCCUCUAACACCCCUAACCCCUUUCCUCUAACACCAAAUGUGGUGUUCCAUCACCACAUUUAUAGAAAAAUAUAUAUUACAAUUAUUGGUUUCUAUGUCUGUUUCCAGUUCUCCUCAACUUGCUCCUCAAGACAUUUUGGAUCCAAGGACCAAUAGGUUGACUCAUUCACUAGUGGAGAGUAUCAAAGAAAGAAAAAUUUAAAAACUAAACAACAGAUUUGACAAGCUGCCUGCCAUCUGAAAGUGAGAAAGAAUGUGAUAUUAAUUGAGCAUCUUCUGAGCAAGCUAUAUGCUGUACAUAUGCUUUUCUUCAAAACAUCCCUUCAAGAAAAUGGAAACCCAAAUCUGUGCCACAUUCCUCUGCAAAGAGUGUCCAAAUGAGGGAGAGAAGAGGUAUGCUUAAUAAAUUAUAAGGUUUUAUGUCAGCAACACCACAAAAAAUUACCUACAACUGUAUUAUGAGCUACAAAGAACAAAUUCAUAAAUCUAAUGGAUAGAUCUUAUAUUUAAGGAAACAGAUUAUUCCAACGUGAAUAACUUUGAAGAGAGUUAAACUGAAUUUGUCAUAAUUCAUUUUCCAGUUUAAUUGCACAUUAUACAUUAAUAUUUACCCUCUUUGGCUCAGA
This 1090-nucleotide long non-coding RNA is filed under the name Homo sapiens (human). RNAcentral describes it as "HSALNT0361654". The record is from RNAcentral. Lineage: Eukaryota; Metazoa; Chordata; Mammalia; Primates; Hominidae.